This 26-nucleotide non-coding RNA is filed under the name Cricetulus griseus (Chinese hamster). The record is from RNAcentral. Lineage: Eukaryota; Metazoa; Chordata; Mammalia; Rodentia; Cricetidae.
UGAUCAUAGUGGGCCGGUCCUGUCAG